GGGUGAGUAACACGUGGAUAACCUGCCCUCGGCACCGGAAUAGCCCGAGGAAACUCGGAUUAAUGCCGGAUAGCCCCACAUCCCUGCGGGGAACGUGGGAAAGGGUAGCUUCGGCCUCUGGCCGGGGAUGGGUCCGCGGUGGAUUAGCUUGUUGGCGGGGUAACGGCCCACCAAGGCGACGAUCCAUAGCUGGUCUGAGAGGAUGAUCAGCCACACUGGGACUGAGACACGGCCCAGACUCCUACGGGAGGCAGCAGUGGGGAAUCUUGCGCAAUGGGCGAAGGCCUGACGCAGCGACGCCGCGUGCGGGAAGAAGGCCUUAGGGUUGUAAACCGCUUUCAGGAGGGACGAAGCCACUCGGGUUAAUAGCCCAGAGGGUGACGGUACCUCCAGAAGAAGCCCCGGCUAACUACGUGCCAGCAGCCGCGGUAAUACGUAGGGGGCAAGCGUUGUCCGGAUUUAUUGGGCGUAAAGAGCGUGUAGGCGGUCAGGUAGGUCGGUUGUGAAAACUGGAGGCUCAACCUUCAGAGGUCGACCGAAACCCCCUGGCUAGAGUCCGGGAGAGGAGAGUGGAAUUCCUGGUGUAGCGGUGAAAUGCGCAGAUAUCAGGAAGAACACCCGUGGCGAAAGCG
This 632-nucleotide ribosomal RNA is filed under the name uncultured bacterium. RNAcentral describes it as "bacterial SSU rRNA". It matches the Rfam family "Bacterial small subunit ribosomal RNA", at positions 104 to 723 of the family's 1533-position model. The record is from RNAcentral.